UCAUAUCAUCCCUAUUUGUGACUCGAUGGUUGUUUACUACUCGGUAGUGCUGACAUCAAUUAACACAAUUACAAGAUAAGUUCUAUGAUCUCUAUUUUAUUUUAAUUUCCGUUAAUGCUUAUUGAAUUAUUUAAAUUUAUAUGUUGUUUAUUAUUAGGAGUAAGUCCAAUAUUUGUGCCUGUGGACUAAGCUGUUGAGACGGGGGGAAAAGAGAGAGGGAAUCAGUAUUAUGAGAUGUGAUAUGAUGUGAGAGAUGUAUGAUGACACUUACUGGAGCAGCAAAAUCUAACCCUUGAUCUAACAUGUUCAUUAUGGACAACUUUAAGGGUCUGUUUGGUUCAACAGAAAGGAGGGGAG
Molecule: long non-coding RNA, 357 nt
Filed under: Trifolium pratense (red clover)
Lineage: Eukaryota; Viridiplantae; Streptophyta; Magnoliopsida; Fabales; Fabaceae
Description: long non-coding RNA (TPRA_LNC004920)
Source: RNAcentral